Molecule: long non-coding RNA, 1525 nt
Filed under: Homo sapiens (human)
Lineage: Eukaryota; Metazoa; Chordata; Mammalia; Primates; Hominidae
Description: HSALNT0324450
Source: RNAcentral
CCAUGGCAAGCACAGAAACUGAACUAGGGGAUUCGAAAUCUUCCCACAAAGAAAAGCCUAGGCCCAACUGGCCUCUAUGGCUCACACCCCUUUAUUAACUGAAGCUGACUUAACCCGAACUAUCUGAAGCUGACUCAACCCGAACUAUCCGAGAUCACACGUAAAUGUUUUCCUUCUGAUCUCAACUUUUCUCCUUAUCGUGGGGCAUGGAAAGGAGGAGAUCGCAGCAGGGAAGUUUUUGUUCUUGUUCACAUGCUAACAAUGGUAAGCUUCUUAAAAGUGAAUCACAGUAGCAUCACAGAGUUUGGACAGGUGAUGUAACUAGGAGCUACGAAAAUUGAGUGCCAUAAAAGAAUCAUCUUUAAAUACUGAAGUGCUUCUGUAUGCUUGAAUUAUACAGCAUUUCCUGUUUCAAAGCAGUUUCACACAAUCUCAUUUAACACUUUUAAAGUCAUAGUAGUUGAACCGAGUAUAUCGCACCCCUGUUACGGCUUUUUCUUGAUUAUAGGACAAAAUGAAAAGAACUUUUAUGAUCUGGCUCCAAUUAUACUUUCAAGGUUCAAGUCUUCCCAUCCGGUGUCUGUGAACUCAAGAGAAGCCUUUCAUUCUAGACAUAGUAGUUAUUUUCUAAAUCAUCUUUAAACUUAUUUGCUGGAAUAUUGUGGGGGUAAAGUGCAAACUUCCCCUUCACCAUCUGAAGGUUUGCUAAAAAUCAACAGGCAGAAGGCGAAUUAACAGGAGAAAUGGCAUGCCAAUUUGUUUGAUCACAGUUUUACAUGAAGAAUGAAGACCCAAAGACACAUGAGAAAUUGUCCAUUUUUAUGCAACACCAGACCAGGCGAUGCUCUAAGACAGGUACAACAAAGUAUGGACAUGCGUGUAGAAAUACGAGUCAACUAAAGGGUGUGAUCUACUGCUAAUAGGCUGAGUGGGGACACCCAGACUCUUCCUGGCCCCUGUGAGCAGCUUCCUUUCCUUCUGGUGUGGGGCAGGAACUUCUCUGGAAUGGGGAUCUUCUGACCCACAGUCAAACAAGAAUUGGACAGAAGUCACAUCAGGGAGACCAGAGACUAGAGUAUUGCAUCAUAGAGGAAAGACACUGAUGACAAGACCUCAGGGGAGCAGUGGAACUGGAGGCCUGGGAGCUUGGGACGUGUUCUCCGGGUGAAGUUGGCUGGCCAGCUGAUGACCUACACCAGUGCCAUUCACUCCUCAUGUGUCCCCCGGGAAUUCAUAGUGUGUGUCAUCAGGUAAAAGCAACACUACUUUCAGAUGUUUUCUGAUCUCUUUGAGAUCUGGACAACACUACUGUGUACAUAUGGCCAGCAACAAAUUACACUCAAUGAAUAUUUUAGAGAGCAGCAAAGUAAUCAAUUAAAAUGUGGGUAAACAAAAAUCACUGUGAUCACAGCUCUGUCUACAUGGUUCUUUGGUAAAAAAUUAGAAUCCUGGGGAUUAGUCUGAGGAUAAAUAUUAUUUAAAAAGCAUUUUGGUUAAAUAGUAAUUAGUAAAUUUUGCUCUGCCG